AGGACGAACGCUGGCGGUGUGCUUCACACAUGCAAGUCGAACGGGGUAGCAAUACCUAGUGGCGGACGGGUGAGUAACGCGUGGGAAUCUGCCUUAAAAUGGGGGAUAGCUAGCCGAAAGGCUAAUUAAUACCGCAUACGCCUAUAUUUCGACAGUUUUAUAGGUUAAAGGAGUAAUCCGUUUUAAGAUGAGCCCGCGUCCGAUUAGCUAGUUGGUAAGGUAAAGGCUUACCAAGGCUACGAUCGGUAGGUGGCCCGAGAGGGCGAUCACCCACAAUGGAACUGAAACACGGUCCAGACUCCUACGGGAGGCAGCAGUGGGGAAUUUUGCGCAAUGGGGGAAACCCUGACGCAGCAACGCCGCGUGGAGGAUGAAGUCCCUUGGGACGUAAACUCCUUUCGAUCGGGACGAUAAUGACGGUACCGAGAGAAGAAGCCCCGGCUAACUACGUGCCAGCAGCCGC
RNAcentral lists this ribosomal RNA (463 nucleotides) under uncultured bacterium. RNAcentral describes it as "SSU rRNA". It matches the Rfam family "Bacterial small subunit ribosomal RNA", at positions 26 to 518 of the family's 1533-position model. The record is from RNAcentral.